RNAcentral lists this long non-coding RNA (721 nucleotides) under Cricetulus griseus (Chinese hamster). RNAcentral's name for it is "lncRNA (ENSCGRG00015039296.1)". Lineage: Eukaryota; Metazoa; Chordata; Mammalia; Rodentia; Cricetidae. The record is from RNAcentral.
GGCCGGUCUCGCCCGUCCACUGACUAACCCCUUCACCCCAGUUUCGCCCCGCCUCUGGCCGAGCUCCGGUACAAACUCUGCCGCCGAGGGCUCGGCUUUCACAUUCCCGCCUCCGCCCUCCGUCUCCCUCCCAACCCUAAAGCACUUCCUGCAAACUGCCGGCUGCGCGGCUGCUUUCCUUUCCGUUGCGGGUGCGGCACCUCCCUGUACCCCGGCUCUCUCUGCCUAGCCUGCUCCAUUUUACAGACGGGAAACUCAGGGUCGACCCCUUAGGGCCACUGGAGUUUUCCCCAAAAAUGAAGCACGAGAACUGCCAUCCCGGAAGGCUAAAUCUCGACUUUGCACGAUUUAAGCUAUUUCAUCACCAGCCUACUAGGACCCUGCGAUCCCUCUGUUCUCCAACAGCCCAGGGAAGCAGUUACCCCAAGUCAUACCAGAGAUUCCUUGAGAUUUGAAAAGACUCCAGAUGUGGCUCAGGCUGACCUUGAACUCAUGAUCCUACUGCAUCCUUCACUACAUCUGGCUCUAUUUUAUCUUCGGAGAUAGUCUCAUAUGGCCCAGCCUGGCCUGGAAUUACUCAGUAGCUGAGGCUGCCCCUGAACUCCCUGAUACUUCUCCCUCUACCUCCCUCCAUGGAAAAGUGGAGAUUUUGAGAGCUGCAGGUUUGAUCAAGAUCUCCCAGCAGUUAUGAGAAGAGUUAGGGCCAAACCCCAGAUCUCAG